UAAAACGUAGGAGACGAGCGUUAUCCGGAUUUACUGGGCGUAAAGCGUGUGCAGGCGGUUCGGCAAGUUGGAUGUGAAAUCUCCCGGCUCAACUGGGAGGGGUCGUUCAAUACUACCGAACUUGAGGUCAUCAGAGGAAGAUGGAAUUCCCGGUGUAGUGGUGAAAUGCGUAGAUAUCGGGAGGAACACCAGUGGCGAAGGCGGUCUUCUGGGAUGAUCCUGACGCUCAGACACGAAAGCUAGGGGAGCGAACGGGAUUAG
This 261-nucleotide ribosomal RNA is filed under the name uncultured bacterium. RNAcentral's name for it is "partial 16S ribosomal RNA". It matches the Rfam family "Bacterial small subunit ribosomal RNA", at positions 521 to 781 of the family's 1533-position model. The record is from RNAcentral.